This 434-nucleotide ribosomal RNA is filed under the name uncultured bacterium. RNAcentral's name for it is "partial 16S ribosomal RNA". It matches the Rfam family "Bacterial small subunit ribosomal RNA", at positions 29 to 507 of the family's 1533-position model. The record is from RNAcentral.
GCGAACGCUGGCGGCAGGCUUCACACAUGCAAGUCGCGCGGGCACUUUCGGGUGUCAGCGGCGGACGGGUGAGUAACGCGUGGGAACGUGCCCUCUGGUUCGGAAUAACUCAGGGAAACUUGAGCUAAUACCGGAUACGCCCUUUUGGGGAAAGGCUUGCUGCCGGAGGAUCGGCCCGCGUCUGAUUAGCUAGUUGGUGAGGUAACGGCUCACCAAGGCGACGAUCAGUAGCUGGUCUGAGAGGAUGAUCAGCCACACUGGGACUGAGACACGGCCCAGACUCCUACGGGAGGCAGCAGUGGGGAAUAUUGGACAAUGGGCGCAAGCCUGAUCCAGCCAUGCCGCGUGAGUGAUGAAGGCCUUAGGGUUGUAAAGCUCUUUUAUCCGGGACGAUAAUGACGGUACCGGAGGAAUAAGCCCCGGCUAACUUCGUG